GAGGAGCCUGCGUCCUAUCAGCUAGUUGGUGAGGUAAAAGCUUACCAAGGCAAUGACGGGUAGCUGGACUGAGAGGUCGAUCAGCCACAACUGCACUGAGACACGGGCAGUACACCUACGGGUGGCAGCAACCAGGAAUAUUGGGCAAUGGGCGAAAGUCUGACCCAGCGACGCCGCGUGGAGGAAGAAGGCCUUCGGGUUGUAAACUCCUUUUGCCAAGCUUUUCACAGCUUGGAGAAUAAGCCCCUACUAACUACGUGCCAGAAGUCUCGGUGAUGCGUAGGGGGCAAGCGUUAUCCGGAUUUAUUGGGCGUAAAGUGUGCGUAGGCGUUUUAUCAAGUCUCUACUUAAAUACCAAGGCUUACCCUUGGAGCUGGUAGGGAUACUGAUAGAAUUGAGGAUUGACAGGGGUGCUGGAACAGGUAGUGUAGCAGUGAAAUGCGUUGAUAUUACCUGG
This 457-nucleotide ribosomal RNA is filed under the name uncultured bacterium. RNAcentral's name for it is "bacterial SSU rRNA". It matches the Rfam family "Bacterial small subunit ribosomal RNA", at positions 224 to 704 of the family's 1533-position model. The record is from RNAcentral.